Molecule: non-coding RNA, 432 nt
Organism: Osmia lignaria (orchard mason bee)
Lineage: Eukaryota; Metazoa; Arthropoda; Insecta; Hymenoptera; Megachilidae
Source: RefSeq, a predicted model, not a curated record
UGGAAACAACUUUUGCUUGUCUCACGAAGUUUUGAUAUCAAUUGAAAACAUUAAAAUUCAAAUUUCACAAUCAGUAAUCUAACUCAAACUGUACACGAGUAUCUAACAUCGAUAAAGGUUUUUCUGGUCGAUCUGCCACGAAAUUAAGAGGAAAAUAUUUGGGUCGCCAUUCGUGGAAUUUUCUUCGUUGGAACUUUCGUAACGGGUUAAAGUGCCAGUCCUAUCUGAAGAGAAAGACCCGACGAUGCGAAACGGAAGAAAACGCAACGAAAUAUCUUCGUGGAAAACAGAGCGUGACAACGUUUGUUUCCACUGUUCGCGCAAAUCGAAUUGAUGGUUGCUAAAAAGUGAGAAAAAGGAAAGAGACCGAAAGACUUACUUUGAGAGGAUCCUGCAAGUUCUGCACCCUGCAAUGCAUGUACACUUUAGCAC